Molecule: long non-coding RNA, 18843 nt
Filed under: Malus domestica (apple)
Lineage: Eukaryota; Viridiplantae; Streptophyta; Magnoliopsida; Rosales; Rosaceae
Source: RNAcentral
UGUUCACAAAAACUACGGUUCCUUUGCAAACAUCGUAACCUGCCACGUUGGAGUUUUCAACGGCGAGAUGUGGUGGCAGAAUUACAACCGCAGGAUGCCUCCUCAUUGUCUCUUUCAUGAUCGCAUCUAUGUAAGGAAGUUGUGCUAGGUCUUUCUCUUCUACCCAUCUCUCUCUCCCGAUCACUCUGUCAAGUUCUUCUGUUGCCUUUUUUAUGAGGCUUGGUUGUUUUAUGAGCUCAGACAUUGCCCACUCUAAAUUUGUUGCUGAGGUAUCAGUGCCUCCAGCUAUUAAGUCCUGGUUUAAAUUUAAAUGAACAAUUAUGUUUUAUAGAUGGUUAGUCAAAUACGAGAAAUAUAUAUUAAACGUGAUAAAUAUGUACGUAAGUGUAUAGAAUGCAUGUAUGAUGUGUACAUAUCUUACAAAUAUUAACAAUUGAAUAGAUUUGGGAUCUUAUAUGAUAUAUACCUGAGUGAAUGCCUUGAUACUGUCAUAGUUGAGUUUAACUUCAAGAUCAUUUGAACCAUCAACCAGCUGCAGUAGUAAAUCCACCAUGUCCUUUGGCACAAAUUCCUCCACUCCUUCCUUCUGCGCCUUGUGUUCGUUGAGCAUAAAAUCAUAAAACCGAUUGAUUUUUUUCUGCAUGGCCUUCAUUCGCUUUAUGUAUCCGUGCAAGUCCAAGAAAUUAAGCCAUGGUAUCCAAUCCCCAAUGUUAAACACCCCAUUAAGCACAAAAAACUCAUCUAACAUGUCCUGAAAUUCUUUGAGUGACAUUAUAGAACCCUCGUAUUCAGCAACGCUAAAAUAAUCCUUACCCAACACAAUUCUGCUCAUAAUGCUAAAAGUAAGACGUGACAGAUGCUCUUUGAGCACAACCGGGUUACCUGACUUGGCGAUGGCACAGAGUCGUGAUGUAAAAGCGCGAUUUUCUUCAACACGAAUGUACUCAAAGGAUUCUAGUCUUUUGGAACUAAACAACUCGUAGAGGAAGAUUUUCCGGCCUUGACGCCAAUAUGGACCGUAAGGUGACCAACUGACACUUUGGUAGUCAUAGGUGAGGUACUUGCCCGCUGCAGUUUGAGGCCUAGAGGAAAACACAUGAUCAUGUGUCUUCAAAAAUUGUUUUGCCAUUUCUGGGGACGAGGCAACUACAACUGGGCGGGAGCCAAACCUGAGUUGCAUUAUAGGUCCAUAAGUUAGGGAUAAUUUGUGAAGGGAUUGAUGCGGGAGAGGACCAAUGAGGUUGAGGUUUCCAAUUAUAGGCCAGGGGUUGGGACCUGGUGGAAAUUUUUGUUUCUUGAGUUGGGGAAACAAGGUUUUUGAGACAAGGGCUAGAGUGGCGAGGCAUGCCAGGGUUAAAAUUACAGCACAAGAAAAGUACUCCAUUGUUUGGAUUGUGGCUGCAAUGGUGAACGGUUGAGAGUUGUGGUCUUAUAUAGUUGAAGUAGUAGGUGGUUACUUGAUAUCAGAAAUAAAAAAUUUAUGAUCUUUAAUGGAUGCAGAAGAUUCACCGAAUAAUCUAAUAUCUAUGGAGCUCUCAAGUAUAAGAUAUUUUAUAAUUUUUAACUGUUUGGAAUUUUAAUUAAAAAUCAUUCAAGAUCUAAUUGAGUUGUACUAGUGUUGAUGCACAAAACCGGAGGUCUUGGAACAACGUAAAUACGACCGUGAAUCUGCAAGAAAUGUAAAUAACACAAGAUGUAUCGUGGUUCACCCCAAGGUUUGGGCUACGUCCACACUGAUUGUAUUUCUCUGAGAGUAUUUGUGAGGGAGAGAGUGUGAGAGCUUUGCUCUAGAUAGGAGAGGCUUAUGGCCUAGGAAUUGGCCCUCCACUCAUUGUGAGGGUGAGGAGUCCUUUUAUAGAAUAAUAGAUCCUCACUUAUUACAUAUUUGCCCAUUCCUUUAUUACAUAAUUACAUUUAAGUCCUCCGAGUAUUUGUACGAGAUCUAAAUACGGAUGCCCUAAAUAUGGUAUAAACAACUAGUAUGCCAUAAGAAAUUUUGAUGUUAAACUUUGUUUCAAGUUGAAUUUUAGUAUGAUGAUCAUCAUAAAUUUUUAAAUACACUACUUGUGGUAAUGGAGGUAUUUGCAGAGAUGGUUUUUUCAAAAGAAAAACUAAUGAAAAUGGCUUGAAAACUUUGAGUUUUAAUGAUAAGGACAAAACAAAGGGUAAAGUGAAUAGUACCAGGAUUGACUUUUUAGUGUAAAAAUGUGGUUUUUCGUUAAAAUGAACAGUAUCAGGUGCUUUUCGUUAAAGUUCCCUUUUUCAAAAUGAUUGCCAAAAUAUUUGCAGAGACGGUGUUUCCCAAUUUUUUUUUUCACACACCUAUCUCGUUGCAAAUAGUGAAAGAUAUGGGGGUGGGUACAAGUAUAGGACAAGCCACUCGUCAAAGAUUCAUUAUCCACAUCUGCUCCUCGUAAAUUUCUAAAUAUUUUAAGAAAUUAUUAUUGGUAUUUUAGAAAUGUGAGCGGAUGUGUGAUGACUUUUUUUACACAAGUUUUUAUAGUACGAGUACGACCGUAAUAUUAGACAAAUAAAAAAAUUAUUAAGACAUUCAUUUGUAAACAAAUACGGCUCCACAAAGAACCCCUAAACCCUUAAUCAAAUAGUCGUAUGGUUUGGGAAUUGAACAUUUUUGGUAGAUAUGAUAUUUGAGGGAAUACCUAAAAGAUAGACGAUUCGAAUCGUUGGAAUACCUUACAAAGUGGGCUCCACAAAAACUUCCACAAAAAAUUGUGUAAAAAAAUGAUGUCACAUCCAUCCCUUAAAAAUUUAAUUAUAAACUUUAAAUCUUUUAUAGUAAAAAACAAAUACUUAUAUGAGAAGUGCGCAAUCAAAAUUUCAAUGUGCCAAUAAUUGUAACAUCCUGCAUCACCAAGGAGAGUGGAUCAUGUAAACCUUAUAUGUAUAUUCUCAUUUCUACCUAGCACGAGGCAUUUUGGGAGCUCACUAGCUUCGGGUUCCAUCGGAACUCCGAAGUUAAGUGAGUUCGUGCGAGAGCAAUCCAUGAUGGGUGAUCCACUGGGAAGUUCUCGUGUGAGUUCCCAGAAACAAAAUCGUGAGAGCUUGAUCAGGGCCCAAAGCGAACAAUAUCGUGCUAUGGCAGAGUCGAGUCCGGGAUAUGGUGGGGGCUCGGGCCGGAAUGUGAUAAUUUGGUAUCAGAGCCAAUCCCCGGCCGGAAGUGUGCCGACGAUGACGUCGAGCCCUAAGAGGGGUGGAUUGUAACAUCCCACGUCGCCCAGGGGAGUGGAUCCUAUAAGCUUUAUAUGUAUAUUCACAUCUCUACCUAGCACAAGGCUUUUUGGGAGCUUAUUGGUUUUGGGUUCCAUUGGAACUCUGAAGUUAAGCGAGUUCACACAAGAGCAAUCCCAUGAUGGGUAACCCAUUGGGAAGUUCUCAUGUAAGUUCCCAAAAACAAAACCGUGAUGGCGUAGUCGGGGCCCAAAGCAGACAAUAUCGUGUUAUGGCGGAGUCGAGCCCGGGAUGUGGUGGAGGCCCGAGCCGGGAUCUGACAAUAAUAAUUUCCAUAUUUUAUUGUGAUAACAUUACAAAAAAUAUUAGGGUAAAUCUAUGUUUACUACCCUUAUGUUUCAUGGUUUUCAACAUUUAGUACAUCAAGUUUUUUUCGUCCCAAAGUCAUACCUAAAGUGUAAAUUUUGGGACCGUCUCAUACAUCCGUUAGUCAAACUGUUAAGUCUCCCGUUAACUAUAACGUGACGCCCAUGUGGACAAUGAUUAGGUGCCACGUGUCAUCCACAUGGAAAUUAAAAAUAAAUUAUUUAUAAAAUAAAUAAAAUAAUUUAUAAAAAAAAAACUUUCAUCUUCCCCAAAUCGCACCUGUACCCACCCUCCCAUCACCCAUCCAUUCUCCUACCCCCCAACACAUUUUCUCUCGCACCACUCCUACCCGGACUCUCGCGACUCCUCCCAUCAUUCCCACGAAAUCGACUACAACACCCCUAACCAACCCCACUCUGCUCCCUCUGCGACACUUCUAACGAAGUCGAUGGAUCCUCUUCGACGGCUCUUGUCACGACUUCGGUUCAAAUCGGGUCUCCCAAUGGAUCCUCUCCGAAGGCUUCGGUCAUUGCCUCGCCGACAAACCUCGAUUUCUUGGGGAUCGCUACACCGGAGAACUGGUGAUGUCUCAGGUAGAGAUUCAGAGGCAGAUCCAGGAGUUGCAGAAGAUGCAAAUCGUUGCUGGUCACGAGCCGAGAGGCACAUGAACACUGAGGGUAUCCGAUGACGACUGGGGUGGGAGGGUGGGCGCGGGUGGGAUUUGGGGAAGACGAAGAGGUGGGUGGUAAGAGGGUGGGCGCGGGUAGUCACAAAUGGUGAUGUGGGUUUGUUGAAGAUUGUGGCAUGAAGUCUUUAGUUGCAAAUUGGACAUUUUGGAGGGUUUGAUCGAGGCUGGUUAAGUGCAAAUGAGGUUGAAAUUGAUUGUUUUUAUCAGCGAAACCAGUUUCCAUUGAAGUUUUAGGACUUGGGGAAUUGAGGGUAUUUUUUUUUUUUUUUAACUUUGCAUGAAUGUGAAGCUUCAUGCUUUUGUGAUUUCCUGGUAAAGUUUUGCAUGAAAGUUUGUUUCUUUGGGGGGGGGGGUUUGAAUGUGUGUUUGAUGGUGAAAUAAGAUAUUUGCAGUAAACAAAAAAAGGGAAGAAAAGGAUUUGGGGAAGACGAAGAGGUGGGAGAUGGGAGGGUGGGUACAGGUGGGAUUUGGGGAAGAUGAAAGUUUUUUUUUUUUUUAAUUUUUUUAUAAAUAAUUUAUUUAAUUUCCACGUGGAUGACACGUGGCACCCUGUCAUUGUCCACAUGGGUGCCACAUCACAGUUAACGGGAGACUUAAUAGUUUGACUAACGGAUGUAUGAGACUGUCCUAAAAUUUACACUUUAGGUAUGACACUAGGACGAAAAAAACUUGAUGUACUAAAUGUUAAAAAUCACGAAACAUAAGGGUAGUAAAUAGAGAUUUACCCUAAUAUUUUUGUAGUGUUUUGACAAUAAAAUAUGGAAACUAUUAUUGUCAGAUCCCAGCCCGGGCCCCCACCACAUCCCGAGCUUGACUCCGCCGUAGCAUGAUAUUGUCUGCUUUGGUGAUGUGAUUUAUAUUGAGAAUGAGUCUCACAUUGAUGAGAGAAUGGACCUUGCAUGGGCUUAUAAAAUGUUUGGCUACUCUCCAUAUUGUCGCUUAGUUAUAUGGUGGAACCCGUCAAUUUUCUUCAUAGUAUCAGAGCAAGUUGUUCCACGUGUGAAGCCAAACGGUCACAUGCGCUCCACAUCAUCCCGUUGUAUUGUCUACGUGUUAGGCUUCGUCACACGUAAGGGGGCAUGUUGAGAAUGAGUCCUACAUUGAUGAGAGGAGGAACCUUGCAUGAGCUUAUAAAAGGUUGAACUACUCUCCAUAUUACCAAUUAAUUUUAUGGUGAAACCUCAACUUUCUUCAAUUUUUCCAAACCUUAAACCCUUCCGAAAGAUUGUUAAGCACCAAAUACACAAUGAUUAAUGUCUCAACUCACGCACUGAGAUAUAACUUGCUCUCUUCAUUGGCAAAUAUUAAAGGUAAAGGUAAUGAUGCAACGAUAGCAACAUUUCGUUGCUCUACCUCAAUAUAUCCUUAAAAAAUAUUUUUUUAUUACAUUUUUUAUACGAUUAUUUCAUAAUUGUAUUACCUCUUGAAUAGAAAUGAGACUCAAAUUGUUGGUUUUCCCUAAUUUUAUUAGAAAUAUGAUACAAAAAUGAUAUGAAAAAUGUAAUAAGAGUAACUCUAGAUAUCCAUCUAAAUGCUCAAAUAACAAUUCCUCAUCGAAAACAUUGGAAAAAAAAAUGGCAAUGGGCACAUUAUUGUUGGAAGGCAAUGGGAAUAAGCGUCUAAGCGGGGACCUGGGCUUUUUUUUAUAAUAAUUUUUAAUGAAAUUUAAUAUAUAACAUAUAACUAAAAGUCUAUUUAUACUUUAAAAGUUGUAUAAUUGCACUUGGAUAUAUAAAUUGCAAAGUAUAAUUACAUAUAGAUUAUAAAGUAUUAGAUCAUACUGAAAACAUAUAGAACAAGCAUAUAACGAGUGUUCACCAAGUAUUCAACAAAUCUCUCCCAAUUUAUUGAAAAAAUAAAAUGCAAAAUAAAAGUUAUCUAUCUUCUAUUUAAGUGAGAGUCGUGAUAUAGACGGAUGCUUAAGCGGGUCUAGACGAGCUAGAAUGGCGCCUUGCCUACCUAGGCACCCUUGCUUAAUUUUCAAAAGCCUAGAGAUUUAUGUGUCAUUUCUUAAUUUUCAAACACCUAGAUAUAAAUCAGGACGGUAACGAGCCGCUUAACGCCUAAACAACAUUAGUGGUGAUUUUAGAACACUACUUAUAAAACAUAACAUGAGUAAAUAGUUCUUUUCUACACACCAUAAAAACAAAUACAAACUUGACUUCAACCCAAUAAAAACAAAAGAAAACUAAUAAAAAGGUGGCCACAUUACGAAAACCCUAAAAGCUCGAAAACCAGUGUUGACAAAGAAAUAUUGCAUUACAAAGGGUUACAAAUUUCACACUUGUGAUUUAUCCUUCUGCGCUUCUUCCAUUUCUCAUGCCCCUUAUUCUUCGUCAACUUUUAUUAUAUCCUAAAAAAUAAAGUACAAAAGAAUCCUACUACAUUUUAUUGCUAAUCUUCUGUGAGAUUUAAAAUGACUUAUUGAAAAUGAAAAUUUGUAUAAAAGUUGUCAGAAAAUAUGCUGCAACAGAAUCAUAGAAAUAAUGGCUUGAAAUCUCAUUCGCACCAACGAGCCAAGGGAACAUAGAGUAGUGCUAAAAUACAUAUGUAGAUCAUAUCUUGCAUUCACACAUAAAAAUUGUAAAUAGAGAUUUGUCAAAGUUGCCUUUGGCUACAUAUGCUGUAUAGCACCUGCAGACUCUAGUGCAAUAACUCUUGUGAGGGGAAAUGUUAAUUUUCGACUUUUGGGGCCAAUCAUUUUAGUUUUUUCUUGAAUUAAUUUUUUCAAAUUCAGAAACUUCUUUCUUCUUUUUGUUUUUCUUCUCUUUAAUUGUAUAUUUAAUAGAGUUUCUGUUUUUAAUGAACCAAAAACACCUAAUUCAAAAAGUGGGUUGUACAGUUAGAUUCUGAUCCUAGCCGUUUAUGCUUUCUGUCUAUACCAUAUUUAGGACAUCCGUAUUUAGAUCUCGUAAAAAUACUCAGGAGACUUAAAUGUAAUUAUGUGAUAAAGGAAAGGGCAAAUAUGUAAUAAGUGAGGAGCCCUUAUUCUAUAAAAGAACUCCUCACCCUCACAAUUAGAUGAGGCCAAUUUCUUAGGCCAUGGAAGGGUUCUCUCACUCUCAGAAUCUCUCUCCAUCUCUCUCCCUCACAAACAGAUAAUACAUAAUUAGUGUGGACGUAGCCCAAAUCUUGUGAUGAACCACGAUACAUCUUGUGUUAUUUACAUUACUUGCAGAUUUACGGUCAGAUUUACGUUGUUCCAAGACCUCCAAUUUUGUGCAUCAACAUUAGGCGCCGUUUGUGGGAAUCAACACAAAAAACUAUGUCGGUUCUCUUUCAUUUUUUCAUCAAAUCUCACCACUGUGAAUCUGUAAAAACCCCAAAACCCAAAGCUUUCACAAAAACCCAACGGUUCAUUCUAUCUAUCUCUCUCUAAAAAACCAACCAGAAAACUCUACCAAAACUCAUCACUCUGGAAAUCUGGAAAGACCAGCUCGAAAUCCCCGAAUACCAUUUCCGGGGUAUCGGGUCUGACACCCACUUCACCAACACAAAACCCCAACUCCAAAUUCUCAUUAUCUUCUCAGAUACAAAAGCAAUUUAUCUGACACUAGUAGAGUAACGUGUCUCUCUCUCUCUCUCACGCCUGGACUGGUUGCCUCAUCCCUCUCAAAUUUUCAACUAGAAAGCGAGAAAAGGUUGUAACUUCAAGUUAUGUGUCAGCUGGUGAGAUCACAGAUGGAUUUCUUGAGUUAUUGCUUGAUAAUCCCAUGUCUUUUCUCUAUUUGGUAUUUCUUAGUUUAAGCUCUCAGAUCCAAUCGCAAAGGGCUUCUUUUUCCACCUGGACCAAAGCCAUCUCCCUUCGUCCCCUUGGUCUCUGUUCCGCCUUCCACCAUGAUGGAUAAGACUAGAUCUUUAGACUUUAAGGGAACGAAGAGGGACUUCAGUACUGCGACCCUCGAGCGCAAGAAGUCUGUGAGUCGGCUCAUUGUCGACGAUGCUAUCAAUGACGACAACUCCGUCGUUGCGCUCCACCCCGACACAAUGGAGAAGCUCCAGCUCUUUCGUGGCGACACUAUCUUGAUCAAGGUGUUCUUGCCCACUUUGUUCACUCCAUUGGCCAGUGGGGGACUGAACCUUACUCUGAGAGAGAGAGAGAGAGAGCGAUGGCGGAUGAGGCAAUUCUAGGAUACCUUGAGUCAAAGAAUGAAAUAUCAGAUUCCGGUCAGUUUACAGCUGAACGUGGGCUCUAUGGUUUCAGAUAUAUUAUCGCACAGAACAUCAAAAGAGAGAUGUGGAUGUUUACUGAUGAAGGAAGGGCAUACACUGCUACCGGGUUACCGGAAGUGCAGCUGUUCCUGGCCAUCCCACCAGAGGGUAUCCCCAAAGAAGAAUUGCAGAAAAAGCUGGAUCCAUCAGUUUUCAAAAUUGGAAGCGCCCAGGCUGCGAAGAGAAAAUGGGUGGAGAUACCAAGCAACUAGUAACCCGAAAGUUUAUAUUGGCCAAGAAAUGCCAUCUUGGGACGAUAUGGAUAACGGCACAUUUGGAGCGCAAGCUUCGCAAGAAUCAGGUUGCCGACACCGAUAUUGGCGUCUCCGUAUGAACAGGGGAGUCUCAAUCACGCCAUCAAUACGGAGAGCAGGGGGUCCCCACGGCGUCGCCGGUGGCGAAGGCUCCGGAGAUCGGAGACGAGAAGAAGAAGGAGCAGAGCCUGCCGUUUUUCAGUCUAAGAUUCCAGUGGUCUGCUGUGGUUGGAAUUGGGAUGGGGACAAGGUCCCAGCAGCAACCAGGCCGAAAGAGAAAGGCAGUGGGAACAAAGAGAAAAGCAAAAGAAAGCGGAAAAAGAAAAGAGAAAAGAAGAAAAUGGGAAAAAUUAUAAAGGGGAGACUUUGGAUGCGGUCCCUAGUUAUGAACAGUCUUUGACUGAAACCUUGUUGGUUUUCAAUUUUUGAUCCAAGUCCCUGAAAUUAAUUGAUAAUUUAUUUCUAUGUAAGUUACUAUAUUUUUUAAAUUAAAAAUUAAAAUUUAUAGUUGUUUAUAGUAAUGAGAUUUAAAAAAAAAAACCACAAUUUGUGGGAUUAAAAAUAUUAAAAUAUAAAUAUACUAUUGUGUGUGUGUGUAAACAUGGGUACAUUCAUAAAAAAUAACAAAAAAAUUAUUGUAUCAAAACAUGGGUACAUUCUUCAAAAUGGGUACAUUUAGCAAAAAUAAAAAAUGGGUACAAAUAAAUAAAAAAAAUAUGGGUACAAUACAAAUAAAACUUUAAAAAAUAUGGGCACAAAAAGAAAUUAAUAUAUGGGUACAAAUUAAAACUGAAAGGAAAAUUGGUACAAAUUAAAAAAGGGUUGCAAAUUAAAAAUAGGUACAAACUAAAAAUAAAAAAUAUAUUAAAAAUUUAGCCAUAAAUAUAAAUAUCUAAUUUGUAAACAUUUUUUAAUAUUAAAUAAAUAUAUUUAGAAAUAAAAAAUAUUUUAUUAUUGAAAUAAUUAAUGAUAUUAUUAAUACAAAGGACCUUGAUCAAAAAUUGAAAAGUAAUAAGGUUUUAAUCAAUAGAGUAGUAAAAAUAAGGAUGAAAACCUAAUUACUCCAUUAUAAAGUUCCUAUUAUUACGAUUCUUUUUGUCUACCAGGUGAAGAGAUAGAGAGAGUGCGACGGAAAGCAGAAAGUAAAAACAAGGAAUAAACACCCCAUCAGAAUGAUGUGAUUUACUUUUCUUGUUUCUGAAUGGUGUAAAUUAUUUUUCUUAUCUUUCAGAGACAUCUGUAUAAACCCCAUCAGAGGGUAAUAAUAAUUAAAAAAAAAGGCAAAACCCAAAAUAAAUGGGCUGGAAUGUUGUGUAGAGGGCGAAAGCUCAUAAGCCCAAAAUAGUUCCAACGAGGUGAUCAAAAGUACGCCCAGUACUCCACAAUUAUUCGACAACCUACCGCUAUUACCACCAACCAGGUGAUCAAAAGUACACCCAGUACUCCACAAUUAUUCGGCAAUAUGCCGCUAUUAUCACCAACCAGGUAAUGAAAUGUACAACCCGUACUCUAAUAUCAUUUGGCAACUAGCCAUUCAUGCCACCAACCAGGUGACGAAAUGUACAACCUGUACUCUCCUUCAUACCACCAACCAGGUGAUCAAAAGUACGACCAGUACUCCAAAUUAUACAUGAGCAUUACUCAUGUCAUUCAUACAUAAACAUUCAUGAGCAUCACUCUUGACAAUCAUACAUAAACAUUCAUGACUAUCAUUCACGUUAACAUUCAUAAGCAUCACUCAUGUUAACAUUCAUGAGCAUCACUCAUGUCAAUCAGCUUCAAAAGCUUCAUUUACAGAGCUCUAGCUUCAAAAGCUUCAUUUAUAAAAGCUCCAUCUUCGAAAGCUUCAUUUACAGAGCUCCAGCUCUAAAGUUUCACUUGCAAAGCUUCACUUACAAAGCUUCAGUGCAGGGUAUACAAAUAUCGCCUCCGAACAACCGUUACUUCAGCACAUACAUGGAUUCAAUUUGAAGUCUUCAGCCAACAAACUCUAUUGACCGAAGACUUGGGGGACUACAUUAUGUACCAUAUAUUGGGCCUCAACUGGGCCUUAUGAAAAAUACUUGGGGGACUUAGCCCAUUAUUUAUGUAUUCAGGAGCGAGCCCUUAUUCUAUAAAAAUGACUCCUUCACUUUCAUUAGAGAGCACUCAUUAUUCAUGUACUGAGGAGCGAACCUUUAUUUUAUAAAAGGGACUCCCUUACCUUCAUUAGAGAGCAACGCCGCCAGCUGAGCAACCGUCUCGCCACGAGCAUCACUCAUAACCCAUCACUUAUGUAUUGAGAAGCGAACCCUUAUUCUAUAAAAGGGACUCCCUCAUAUGGAAUGUGAGGACUGCAACUGAAUUUUCUUAUCCACUGGCAUGUGAACUCAUAUGGAAUGAUGCAACACCAAACCCUAGUGCAUAAUAUAUAAAAUAAUAAAAUAAUAGGUUUGGUCAUCUUAAUAACAAGGCUUAAUUGGGUUAAUAGUCCGUUGUAGUUGGGAUGUGAUGAAAUAUGUCAGGACUUAGGCUCAAAAUUGAAAGUUUUGUCAACUCUCCGUUAAUUGUUAUCACGUGAGCUAUGCUAACAAUUAACAGAAAUCCUAACACACCCAGACCCAAAAUAUCCACUGGACACUGAAUCGAGUUGUGCUGACCGACACCAAAGAGGUGAUAAAGCCAUAGAGUGAUGGUGAUGUGGAAAUUGCUACUAAUUUAAAUCUAAAGUAACUAAUUCUGAAGCGCACAUGUGAGUGGUUUUGAACCCAUAUCACACAAGUGAUGUCAAAACAUAAGUAAAAUGCAGUAAAAGUAGAGUAAUAAUUAUACCGUUAGGAGUAGCCUCCUAGUUAUCAGCUUUUGUUAGAGGUCCUCGUCUACAACAUGAGCUAUGCUGCUAAAUCUUGGAGAGGCGAAAAACAAGAAUGAAUUGACUUGAAAAAUAAAGUUUUAUUUCCAACCACCCCUAUCACCAUAGGGAGUAAUAAUCCAAUUAGGCCUACUAACAAAUACUAAUGACAAUGUGUUGUGACGAUACAAGAAAAUAAUUUCCUUUCCUCUUGAGAUGACGGGGGUUUCAUGGAAGUGGGACCAUUGAGACCAUGAAAUGUGCAUAAGUUAUUAUUGGAUUUUAGUUAACAUUAUUUUGUGCAAUGUCACAAAUCAUUAGAAAAAAAAAUAUAUAUAUAUAUAUAUAUAUAUAUAUAUAUAUAUAUAUAUAUAUAUAUAUAUGGCAAUGGCAGCCUCUCAAUAAUUGAUGAUCAUUAUUUUGGACUGGAAUUUAUUUGGUCAAAUGAAAACCUCAAAUCAGACUUGCCCUCGUUCACAUCCACCGCCUUGCCCUCAUGUGUAUGCCAAGCUAAACUCAAUCUCAGUUAUGAGUGAUUAGGUUGAACACAUGUCUGUUGAAUGACGCCGGGAAGUUCCGGUUUUUCCACAAUUUUUUGCAAAUCUCCGGCGAUGUUAAGGAUGGUUUCGGCUCAGAUUCUUUAUUGAUAGAAUAUUAGCUAAAUGCAAUUGAUCAAAUAGUCAUCUAUGACGAUCAUUCUACUAAGUGAAUAGUUAUGAACAAAUGUACCGAUAUAUAAACUCUAGAGUUGUCACGUCUUCUAAUGUCAGUUAAUCAAUUAAGAAACAAAGAAUGCCUUGAAUCUUGAUGCACACUAGAGUUAUAAACAGUAGUAGGCGAGAACAGAUGUGCCCUCCACUGCACUUGAGUCAUGGGUUAAUGUAAAGUAUUAUUUGUAUAAGAAAAACUAACAGUACUAGCUAGGCUAGAAAACCCCAUGUCGUUAAUAAGGUAGGGCCUUUUAGUGGGCCCAUUUUACAACAAAAUUGUGGCCUCUUGUGCAUUCUCGUUGGGUCUAAGGUUGCUUAAGAACACAUGUAGCAGACUUAUUAAUUAGAGCAUGUUUGGAAUUGAUUUUAAAAUGACAAAAAACAUUUUUGACGAAAGUGUUUCUGGUACCUAUUCUUGGUAAAAAUGCAAAUAAUCUUGGAAAAACACUUGAAAAGGUUUUUACAAGAAACACAUAACUGAUAUUUCUUAAAAAAUACAUUUCUGGCAUGUUUACCAAAUCGGAACGGAAUGGCAAGAAACGGAAUUUCAUUUUUUUUCAGGCAUUCAAGCCGUUUACUAACAUUUCCAGAAUGAAAAACAAGAUGGGGUCCAUUUAAAAUCAGGAGUUGGAUCCCUAAAUCUCUUGGAAUCGGAUCCCCUAGAUGGAGGUGGUAUUUGGAUUCCAGGGAGAAGGCUCUUCCAGGAAUCCAACUUUUAUACCCAAACUACCCCCUGGAUGGAUGGGCUUCGAAGAUUGAGUUGGUGGAAUGGGUUGUCGUUGGCGAAGAACGGAUUUGAAACUCGUUCGGUGUCGUAUCUGCCAAUUGAACGACACUCUACACCUAGAAUUGAAGCUGCAGUGGUGGUACAGUGAUGGUGGAUCCACUACUAUAGUGGCUGUGUGGCUGGAAAGAGGAGGGAGAUGAGAAAAAGAUGGAAAAAUAAGAGGGGGAAGCUGAAGAUAGUUGGGAUUAUGUGCGGUGCGGACCAUGAAAGAAGAUAGUUGGGUUAUGAAACGGCAACGAGACCGCAGUGCAAUUGGACAAGGAAAGGCAGGGGUGAAGGGCAAUGCAAGGAAAGGCAGGGUGGGCUAUGGAGGCAUAAGGGGGUGGAUAAUUGGUAUGUUUGGAAAGGCAAGGGUGGGUGGAGAAGGGAAUCUGAUUAAGAAAUUUAAUUUAAUUAAGAUAUAGAUGAAUUUUAUUAUAUAAAUUUAAUUUAAUUAAUUAGUAUGAAAAUAAUUUAUUUAUAUAAGGGCAAUUUAGUAAUUAAAUUAGUUUUAAUUCCGAUUGAAGUGAAUUAGUAAACAAUUUAUCUGGACUCAACAUCAUUCCUAUUCCAAUUCCAGACAGUUUUAGUAACAACUUCAUAAAUCUGAUUCUGAUUCCACCUCAUUUUAAUUCCUCCUCAAUCCAAUUUCUCUCAAUCUAAUUACGGAUUAGUAAACUCGCCCUUCAAGUGCAAAAGCACUUGAAAAACACUUCCAAACAUGUUUUAAUUCUCUCCAAUAUUAGCAAAUUAAAUAAGUAAAAGUGGGAAAUCACUAACCUUUUGGUGGUGUUGUAACUGUCAUUUCCUUGAUUUUGCUGUUGAUUACCACCAAGUCCAUAACCCAUUUUCUAAUUAUUUGAUGCUUAUUCUUGUACCAAAUACCGACAUGAAUAAUUCCUUUUCAAUAAAAAAAUCCACUAAAAGUUUGUUUUCUUCUGUGUUUCAUUAACAAACAAAACACAACAGCUAAGACACCGACGUCGUUAUGUGAAAGAAAAAUUAGAUAUAAAUAGUAUACGAGUCACCAGAUAAUCCAGCUCUGCAACUUCCUCGCCAACCCAACAUUUGCAAAUCUUCAUGAUAUGCUUACAUGAAUGCAGGGUUUAGGGUUUUUAAAUAGUUGGAAUUUUUGAAUGUCAACUUUGAGUCCUCUGUUGUUGGAACCUGCAGACAUUCAGGUGGGUACAAAACCCAUCAUCUAAUUUAAAAGCAUCAUAAAAUUGUAGCCAUUGAGUUGUUAUAUAAAGAUAAGAUAGGGGUUUUUAAAUAGUUGGAAAUUUUGAUGCAGAACUAGGUGAUGAAUCCUAACCCUAAUCAUCCAUGGAUGCCUAGCUAAAAUUUAUUUACCAGAAACUUAGUAAUUCGUAAAAGCUGCAUAAACCCUAGCUUGCUAGUUUUCUAACCUAGAUCGAGGUAAAGUGUAACAAGUUCAUACCUACUCAACCCUAGUAUGUUCAUAACAAUGAGGCUCUUUGAAUUACAAAAUAUCAUGAUGAGUCAAUAUUUCCAGUACUUGAAUUCAUGUAACAUGCUACCCAAAGCUGUAUGCAGCUAGGGUUUUGAAAACUAUAGCCAAAUUUUGAGCAUAUAUAUGCACGUUAGAUAUUUCUAGUCCUUUCCUUUUUCAUACUUUUAGGAAUUACAAUCACUCGAUGGGUCUCGAGAGGGCUCAAUCACUACUUGAAGGGGUCUCGAGAGAGUUCAAGCACUACUCGGAGGGGUCUCGAGUGACUGUUGAAAGUUCUAGAAUGAUACUAGUUUAGCCUAGAGGGGGUGAAUAGGUUCCAAUUUAAAAAUCCAAUUCAAUUUUCAAUAUAAUUUUUAAUUCUCAAAUUAAUUCCACAUUCACAUCACAUAUCAAAUUAUCCUAUGGAAGCAGUUCUAUAAAACUCAUAAGCCAAAACUACACAACUAGGUACUAGGGUUACAAUACAACUAACUCGUACAAAAUAUCUAGUAGUGUAUAUCAAAAAUUAAUUGCAGGAACACCUACUUGUAUUUGAUGCCAUGAUUGUAACGCAAGUCAGUCUUCUACUCCCACUACUCAAUAGCUCCCUUACUGUGUGAAUAUGUUUCAUCAAUAUUUAGGGUUUUUUACGUAUGGGAGCAGGGACUAUAACUUCAUAUAUAUACUACUAGGGUUGCACCACCAGCCUAUUACCAGUAGUGCACCCUUAUCGCCUUAAGAAUGAAUGAGUCCUAUCAUGAUUCAACAUCUUUGUAUUCAAUCCUUAUCGGGAUCGCUUUUAAGUUAACUGCAUGGUGUUAAGACUCCAUAACCCUUACGAAGUAGAGACUAACUAUACCACUUGCAUCACAGAUAACUUGAGAACCAAGCUAGCUGUCAUCUAAGUAAUAUCAACUAACACUCAUUGUCAUUCACUAGAACUUUACAUCCUACACAUGUGCAGUUAAAAAGAUAAAUACUAAGAGAAAUGAGUACAGAAAGACUUACAAAACUCAUCAACUAGACACACAUACUAGUAGGCAGUUUUGUCUCCAUACUUUGCUACUCGAUAUCUCUUUAGCCUUCAAGUGAAAGUGCACGACACUAACGUGGCCGUCAAUCACUGUCUCCUCGAACUUUACAAGAUACUAACGCGAUCAUGCAGAAUAUAUGAAAUGAAAUGAUUUUUGAAAAUCAACCAAUUAUGAAAAUCACAAGGCACAUUUUCAUAAUUGAUUUCGAUUAAAGCACAAUGAAAAAUCAGUGAACAAAACUAAAUUUUUCUUUAAAAGAAAAAACACGUGGAUACAAACUGAUUUUUCUACCAUAAACAUCAAGGGAAAAAUAUGAAUUUUCUUUUAGAAACACAGGCUGCUGACCGACAUGGAAAACAAACUUUCUGCUGUUAUAUAUAUGAAUGACGAUGCUUUCAGUGCACGGUGCUGCAUCAAAUGCAAACUACAAUACAUACCUACAGAGCAUGCAGCAAUAUAUAAGAAUAUAUAUGUAUUCUAAUACAUGCAGCAAGUAAUGGAUCUAUAUAAUGCAUGUAGUUGUUGUAGACUAUUAUAUAUAUAUGACUUAAACAAUCAAAGUGCAGCAGCAAUCCAAGACUAAAAAAACUUAUUCUCAUAUAGCAGCAGCAUUCUUUUCACUUUCACGAAAACGCAAUGGCAGCAACCACAACUUGUUUUUAACCUAGACCCCUAUAUCAAUAACAUGCGGCAACAGCAAGCGAAACCCUAAUGUAAUCCCAUCUAUAUAUAAGCUGCAGUAGGAGACUUCAAAAUGACUUAAAACUCUAAAUAGAUGAGAUAAAAAUAAAAACAAAAACAUUUGAAGGUGUUGAGACAAGGCAUAAAACUAAAUUAUCAAGUGACUCAUCCGGUUGUAUAUGCUAAGGUUUUGUUCACACUUAAAUUCAUGGGCUUUGAUUAAAACCUAGUAUCAUGUAAAUAAACCCAAGUAUACUCUUUUCUCUGUAGACAUAACACCGUAACAAUAAUCAUGCCAAGUUGAUUGAUCUAACAUAUUGUAGUUAAGCCUAACUACAAGAAUGCAUAUGUUACCUGAAUGGAUGCUUCUGAAAUGUUUGUUAUUUUACUAAUCGAGAGCACGAGAGACAAAUUUAAACUAAAAUAAUUACAAAAAAAAACAUGUAUUAGCUUAAGAUAUUGCAUACUAUGAUGUUUUGUUUAGAAAUUACCAAUUUUACUCUAACAACUGUACUCCUUAUCAAUUCCACAUAGGGGGCCUAUAUAUGUUGGUCACGUGGCUAGUCUUUUUCUUCCACCCAUCUCUCCCAAUCAUUAUCAUUGUACUGCAGGCUCUUUCUUCGAUGAGCUGUGGUUGUUUCGCUUGUUCAGUAGUCACUGUACAGUCUCCGUGCCUCCGGCUAUAUGUGUGGCUUUAAAUUUACGAUCCAAUCGUCGGAAAAAAAGAACAAAAAAAGGACGAUCCAAAAACUUUCAUAUAUAGUUGACAUCGUGGCCUAGUUUGCAACAUGAAACGCAAUUGUGCCAGAGAGAUAAUUGAAGGGGACUAAAGUCCAUACGACUACGGACUAUUUAUCACAAUAAUUCGUACGACUACGGACUAUUUAUCACAAUAAUUCGUUUUUGGCUGGUAUUGACAAUCAUUUAUAUUACGAAGAAAAUAACAUUGUGCGGAUUUAACAUCAUAGAAUAAAUAUCUCGUAUACACAUUUCUCUUUAUUUUUUUAGUUGAAAUUAUAACUAAUUAGAAAGGUAAUUAAUCCCACGAAAACUACAACAUUUAGCCUAGAACCAACAAAAAAUGGCCAAGCAACACAAAAGUAAAUAAUGUUGUGCGGACUUAACACCAUUCAAUAAAUAUGUCACACGCAUCACACACAUCUGCAUUUCUCCUUAUUUUUUUAGCUGCAAUUAUAACUAAUUAGAAAGGUAAUUAACCCCACAAAAACUACAACAUUGAGCCUAGAACCAACAAGAAAUGGGCAAGCAACACAAAAGUAAGUUUUUAUGAUUCUUACACGUCGACGUUAAUUUCUCCCAACGUUGGAAUGGAAUUGGAGCAGAAAUCAUAUGUAAAGAAAAAACAUUGAAAAAAAUACAAAAAUACGGGGUCGCGGCUGGAUUCGAACCUGCGCGGGCAAAGCCCACAAGAUUUCUAGUCAUGCCCGAUAACCACUCGGGCACGACCACUUUAUAGUAAACUAUGAGACAAUAGGGAAUAUAAUUUAUUGAUCAGACUUUGAUACAUUCUGACAAACUUUGAUACACGGUUUUAUUGAGCAGGACUGCAGGAGUGUAGGAUCAUAUCAAACUCACUACACUAAUAUUCAUAAGAAUAUAAAAGAACACAAGUAAUAUAAAUAAAGGAGGGAUACUUUCAGAAUUAAACAUAACUAUGUUGUUGAUACAAAUGAUUUUGGGAAUGUGCGAGCAAUGAGGAGUGUUAUCUCAUGCAAGUGGAUGGGUUAACACUCUUUACCAACAGAGUUGUGCAAAGUCCAAAUCAAGCUCCAAACCCCAAGUAAUAAAAUGAACACUCUUAACCAACAAAGAUACGAGUACCUUGCCAAAUACAAAUAUACCUAAUAAAGAUGGACUGGCAGCCGAGGUUCCAUAACAGCAACAAGUGGGAACUUCCGAGUUGUGACCAAUCCAUAAGCUUCCUCCAUACCCAAAUCUUCCACUUUCACAUUCCCAGGCAACUUCCAAUUAAACCCAUGCAACAUGUUAGCCAAACAAGUUCUUAUCAUCCUCAGCCCUAGCUUAUAACCAGGGCACAUCCUCCUCCCCGACCCAAACGGCAGCAACUCAAAACUCUGUCCUUGCAAAUCAAUCCCAGUAUUCCCUAAGAACCUCUCUGGCCUAAACUCUUCUGGUUCUUCCCACAGUUUAGGGUCUCUCCCCAUGCUCCACGUGUUCACAAAAACUACGGUUCCUUUGCAAACAUCGUAACCUGCCACGUUGGAGUUUUCAACGGCGAGAUGUGGUGGCAGAAUUACAACCGCAGGAUGCCUCCUCAUUGUCUCUUUCAUGAUCGCAUCUAUGUAAGGAAGUUGUUCUAGGUCUUUCUCUUCUACCCAUCUCUCUCUCCCGAUCACUCUGUCCAGUUCUUCUGUUGCCUUUUUAAUGAGGUUUGGUUGUUUUAUGAGCUCAGACAUUGCCCACUCUAAAUUUGUUGCUGAGGUAUCAGUGCCUCCAGCUAUUAAGUCCUGGUUUAAAUUUAAAUGAACAAUUAUGUUUUAUAGAUGGUUAGUCAAAUACGAGAAAUAUAUAUUAAACGUGAUAAAUAUGUACGUAAGUGUAUAGAAUGCAUGUAUGAAGUGUACAUAUCUUACAAAUAUUAACAAUUGAAUAGAUUUGGGAUCUUAUAUGAUAUAUACCUG